RNAcentral lists this ribosomal RNA (253 nucleotides) under uncultured bacterium. Its description in RNAcentral is "partial 16S ribosomal RNA". It matches the Rfam family "Bacterial small subunit ribosomal RNA", at positions 524 to 776 of the family's 1533-position model. The record is from RNAcentral.
UACGUAGGGUGCAAGCGUUGUCCGGAAUUAUUGGGCGUAAAGAGCUCGUAGGCGGUUUGUUGCGUCGGCUGUGAAAUCCCGAGGCUCAACCUCGGGUCUGCAGUCGAUACGAGCAAACUAGAGUGUUGCAGGGGAGACUGGAAUUCCUGGUGUAGCGGUGAAAUGCGCAGAUAUCAGGAAGAACACCCGUGGCGAAGGCGGUUCUCUGGGACGGUACUGACGCUGAGACGCGAAAGCGUGGGGAGCGAACAGG